UUUUUCAUAAGGAAACAUAAUAAGCAGAGUAUCGCAGCAAAAAGCGAAUCGAUUAUAUGUAUGAAGACAUAUAACCGCGAGUAAAUUGCUUAAAUUCAAAGAAAAACAAAGUAUCUCAAUUAUCAAGACUCUAUCCACAUGAAGGCACAACAGUAAUAUAAAUACAUUGAUUGAAAUGUUUCCCCCACCAGCACCAGACCAAUCUCGCUCCCCGUUUAGCCUGCACAUUUAAAAAUACAUGCAGGGCAUGAGCACAUAAUACUCAGUGGGCAAACGCCGAAAAACAAGAAACGUGCUCUUAGAGCUAUAAGUUUGAAACUUGCCACAUCUCAGCCAUACACAGGAAUAACUUAGCGUNGGAAAAUCUAUCACAGAUUCAAUCAUGUUGCACUCAUCUAGCUGCGGCUCCUUCGGUCUUCUCAUAGCGUCAUAGAUAGAUAAAGUCAAUUUUUCAUCAUUGACUCUAAAUGUGAGAUCUCCAUCAUGUACAUCAAUAAGAGCAUGGCCGGUAGUUAGGAAUGGACGCCCCAAAAUCAAUGGAGUAUUCUUGUCCUCCGGCAUGUCCAAGACCACAAAGUCCGCAGGAAAAAUAAACUGCUCCAUCUGCACAAGAACAUCCUCCACAAUUCCCUUUGGAUAAGUAAGGGAACGAUCUGCCAUCUGCAGAGCAAUCGAUGUGGGCCUGAUCUCUCCAAUCUCCAAUCGUUUGAAAAUAGAUAGGGGCAUCAAAUUGAUGCUAGCCCCUAAAUCACAAAGAGCACGGGAGAAAUUCUAUCCUCCAAUCACACAAGCGAUGGUAAAGCUACCGAGAUCUUUCUGCUUCAACGGUAGCUUUUUCUGUAAUACCGCACUGCACUCCUCUGAUAAAUUGAUCGUCUCAUAUUUCCCCAACUUUUUCUUGUUGGAAACUGCAUCCUUGAGGAACUUAGCAUACCCCGGCAUACCUCUCAGCGCAUCAAGUAAUGGAAUAUUGAUUUGUAACUUUGAAAAUAUCUCCAUAAACUUGCCCAUCUUCUCAUCCAACUUCGACUUUAGCAAACGCCCUGGAAACGGAGCUACAGGCUUGUACUCCGAUCUAGGGAACGAAGGGGUAGGAACAGGCUCCUUAACAGCAGAAGAGCUCGAAUCGUUCUUAGGGGAGGCGACUGUUUCGCUGCAAGCUCCUCCAAGUCAUCAUCAUCGUCCUCCACUACUUUGCCUUUUCCCUUGUCAUUCUGCAGCUCUGGAAAAUUUUGGUACUCAGUCCCGCUUCGAAGAUAGAUCGCAUUACACUGAUUUUUGGGAUUAAUUUCAGUGUUGCUAGGAAAGUGGCCCGGCUUGUGCUGUGCAGCUGCUUGGUUAGCCAUCUGACCAACUUGAUUCUCUAACAUCUGCACCUGCUUAGAAAGUGAUGAAAAAUUUUGCUCCAUGCUGAACAUUUUGGUUCCCAUGUUUGCCGAGUUUGCCUCCAUCCCGGUGACCUUCACCAACACUUGCUUCAUCAUCUCCUCCAUUGAAUCUUUCUUUGGCUCAUUGAUUACUCCCCCACUAGAAACAGAAAAUCCUGGUGGAGGUUGCACAGCAUUAUUUGGGUUGCCAUAAGAAAGAUUCGGAUGCGGGCGUCCUCCUGGCUGGAACUGCUGCUGGCCCUACUGAUAUUGCUGACCUCUGUUAUACAUUCCUGGCUGUCCUCGCUGGAAAUUCCUAUAGUUUCUACCAUUAAUAUAAUUGAUAUCUUCCAUCCCUGAAGGGUCUGUCACAGCUUGCUCAGGACGUCCAACAUUCAAUUCACUAAUUUUUGUACUCAGCUCUGCCAGCUGUGUACCCUGAAGGAAUAUUAAAUUGAAUUAACGUUCCGUUUGCCCGAUGAUCGUUUCUUGGAUUAUUAUUAAUUUAUCAUACAACGAUUAAUCCCUAACAAGCUCCUAUGAAUUAACAGCUGCAAAUAGGUGUUAGGAUUUACUUACUUGUGAAUUGGAUGCACAGAUGAUUGAUGAUCGUAUCGAACGACUCCAGUUCUGAUCUUCUAGACUGUAUCCCGCUCUAGCUCACCGUUGGAUGGACAACAAACUGUGAGAAAACCCAAGCCAGAAAGUUUCCCACGUUUCCUGCGCCUCUCUCAGUUCUCAAACCCUAAAUAAUUAUCAGAGUGUGUUUUCUGAGAGCUGACAGCUGUAUUUAAAAAUACAGAAAAAGGGCGAAGGCGCCAGUUUUAGGGUAGGGCACGAUUUCUGGCUCUUUCUGGGCUAGGAGACUUUGGGCCAGUCCAGGGACCAAAUACAAGGAAUAAAGAUGGGCCUCAAAUAAAUUAAUUUAUCUAUGGUCAGCCCAUACCAUAAUUAAUUUAUAAAUAUUAGUUCAUUCCACUAGAGAACCAAUAUUGACUUACCCCUUCAUUAUCGGUGAUGAGUCGGGGCUUGUAUUUAGACUUAUUAAAUCCUCGUAUUUAAAAUAUCCGACAUCCAUUAAUUAAUUAGAGCUCUGACAGCCUAAAUUAAUUAAUCUCUUAGUAAUCCUUAAGCAGUACCACUCAAAACUUAUUAUUGCGCCUGAACUUAAUCAACCUGCAGGGUUUAGCGCAAUAAACAUUAUUGAGCUCCUUAAGGGGAUGUCAUUAUCCUAUACGGAUACGAGUACCAAUACAGAUAAUCAGAUAUCAUAUAUUAACCGCUAUCACCCAAGAUACAGAGUACUCAAGUUACUAUAUAACUCUUGCUCAUAGUAAGUCAAAGUGAUAGACGAAUCAAUAUAUAUAUCUGACAUCUUAUUAGUAUUAAGAUCUUAUAAGUCACCGAGAUCUCUAAUUCUUCACUUAAGUCAGAUAGAAGAAUAUAUCUCACUGUGGUCCUAUCAAUACGUAUUUCGUACCGGUAUAGAUAAGCAGUCAAGACAAACUACUUCCAUCUAUACCGCAACCUAAACCAAUAACUUGUCCUAGAGUUAUUUCGGUUGUGAUCAUAUUAUAUCUCUUAAGGUUAAUCCAAUUAUAUGGUCUUCUGUGAUCUACAACACACCAUAUAAUCUACUUGUAUAGAGACAAAGAACAUACAUAUGCAAUCAUGAAUCCAAUGAGAUAGGAGAUUAAAAGGUGAAAACAGGAAUCAUUGUAUACAAGCAUAAAACGUUCUUGCUUUCUGUCGCAGCCCGAUUCCCAAACACUAGUAAUAGUGGGGUACGAGUAUCGAUACGACUAAAAUAUAUGAAUAAAGGACAUCACAACUGAACUGAACAUCGGCGCGGAAGCUUACAUCAAAACAUGCUAAGGCAAGACAUUAUAAAUCGACUCAAGGGUAUAAAUAUCAACGAUGAUAUAACUUCUUGACUAUCAGGAAUUUCAAGAAGAAAAACAAAGUAGGUACAUCUUAUUUUUCAUAAGGAAGUAUAAUAUCAAGAGUGCCGCAGCAAAAGGCGUAUCAAUUAUAUGUAUGAAGACAUAUAACCGAGAGUAUAUUGCUUAAUUCAAAACAAAGUAACACCUCACUAAGAUUUCAUCACAAAAAAUGGCAUUUAGCUCAAAGAAAACAGCGGAUCAAACAACUCCCCACCAGCACCAGACCAAUCUCGCUCGGAGCUUAGCCUGCACAUUUAGAAAUACAUGCAGGGCGUGAGUAAUAAUACUCAGUGGACAAACGCCGAAAAAAAAUAAAAGCUGCUCUUAGAGCUAUAGAUUGAACUUGCCACAUUUAAGCAAUACACGUGAGUUAUAUCUUAAAAGAACCUGUGCAAGCAGUUUUUAACCAUAAAAUCAUAAAUAAGUGUCUGCAGACAAGUACUCGACAUGUAUGUACCGCAUCUACAACUCAUCAUCAUAAUCAAGGUACUAAGAAGUAGGCCUCCUUCUCAAGCACCGUGACCGGCCGACCCGAAGACGGCUCACGGUCACCUCUCGUGUACACAACCCCCGCUUGUGGCAGGAUCCGAAUUCGUCUCAUCUCAUCAGUAGAGGGUAACAUACAGGCUCAACAUCAAAAACUUGGCAAGUCAAACAGUUCUCAAACAUCAUUUAUCUCAAAACAUUUGUUAAACUCAUAAUAUCAUCAAAUCAUUUAGAAAGCUCGUAUAUAUAAAUAUUAUACUCAAAAUAUUGCCCACCUGAAGUCCUUCGCUCAACUUGGAAAGGAAAACAGGCGACUUACUUCUUCAUCUCGCU
This 4129-nucleotide long non-coding RNA is filed under the name Salvia miltiorrhiza (redroot sage). RNAcentral's name for it is "long non-coding RNA (SMIL_LNC004734)". The record is from RNAcentral. Lineage: Eukaryota; Viridiplantae; Streptophyta; Magnoliopsida; Lamiales; Lamiaceae.